AAAAAAAUACGAAGAGUGAAAACCGGAAGGAGCGAGACCGAAGCUGUGAGACCAGAAGCUACGACAGCAACACGAAGGCGACUGGACGGAGAGUGCGACCCAGGUGAUUGGAGCGCGACCACGGUGAUCACGAACCGGAGCGGACGAAAUGCGACCACCAACGACGGUCGGAUGGAGCGCGAAAGUUAGGAGAUGAAACCCGAUCAGAAACGGAAAUUGGAGAGUGAAGCACGGUGAGAACGUUGAGGAACCCUAACAAGGUAUUCAAUCGCCAGAAUCAAAACUUUCGUUUUUCGUUUCUACCCGUUUUAAACUCGUCAAAUUGCGGCAAAUCGCGAUUUCAUACGUUUUUACCGAGUUCAUAAACGAGUUCACUACCGAGUUAACUCGGCAACCUUAACUAAACACUCAAACUCGUCCGAGUUAGCGAGUUAACUCGCGAGAUUGAUAACCAUGGUUGAGAGCAUCUUUGUUGGUAGAAUAGAGGAGUCUUAAAAACUUGAGUUGGCACAUCCCUGAUCAUAGAACAGUCCUGGCCUGGUCUAGUACGUUGUGACUAGUCAUAUGUGCUGGCGUCGAAGGUGAGUCUGAUGCCUUCAAACAUAUUACCCCGCUCCGAUGACCAAUUGGGUUGGCAAGGAGUGGUAGGGAGUUAAGAAUUCUGGGUAGUCUAGCAAUUGGGAAAAACGAUUGAGGUUGUUGAAGGGAAGUGAGGGAGUGAUUUUGAGUCUUUGGGGUUAUGGACGUACUUGGUCUGCUUAUGCAAUUUAGGUAAGUCUAUUUAGACUUGUUAAGCAUAUAAAACGGAACCAAAACCUGCUAGAAUUGGUGGAUUUGAAAUAGAGUCCCUAAGUUAUGGAAAUUGGGAAAUUAGAGUUAGAUUCAAGCCUAAAUCACUUUAAGAUCACUAUAGGAAUUUGUAAAACCAGUUAGACCAGUUUAAAUAGGUUUGUAUCACGUGUUUGGGGUGUUAGAAGUUAGGUUGGAGGGUUGGAUUUGGUUGGAGGGGCAUGAGUUGCAUGAUUUUACAUAAUUGGCGUUCUGCAAAUCAUACAUACUCGCUAUGCAGAUAUUCUCGCAUAGCGAGUCGCUCCAGGAAGGAGCUAUAUGCCCCGUCUCUCGCUAUGCGGCAUGUGUGCGAUAUGCGAGAGACCCAAAGUUUGAUGCCUUGGCGAAUUAAUUCGCAAGGCAAAAUUGUGUGUGUGCGCUAUGCGAAUCAACCUGGAUUCACUGUGCGAGUGUUGUGCACCUUACGAAAAGUGUUGUUCCUGGUUCACUAUUUUUGGGUUUGCUUUGUUAUUUUAAGUUGAACUUGUUCGGUUUGAGAAGCAUGAUUUGGAGAGUAUUAUGGUUAUGUUGUUGAUGACUAUAGUAAUAUAUUGUGACGCCCAAACAUGUAUGUUGAUCAUGAUUCAAAAAUGGUAGGUUCAAAGGUAAAGAGGUAUGACUUCAAGGUGGUUGUAAUAUAUUUCAAAGUGUAGAGUCUCUCGGUGAGAUUCUUAGUGUUUUAGAAUGAAAUUAGGAGCUUAGUCUUGGGAGUCUUCCUGACGCUCCAAUGGUCUUUCUUCUCACAUAAAGAGGAUUGAACCAUGUGGUGAGGAGUAGUAGAAGGUCUUAGUCUUGGUAGAAUUGGGCAUAAAUUAACUAAAUUAUACUGAACUAUAGAUUAUCUAUACUAUUUUGUACUAUAAAAACUUAACUACUUUUUAUAAAAAUUGAAUUAUACUUAUUUGCAAUUCAGUUAAAAAAAAUGAAUUUCUUUUUUUAACAGUAUAGUUAACUACUUCAAACUAUUCAAUUUGCAGCAAUACAAACAUAAGAAAUAAACGCACGGGUGUAUAUAUAUAUAUAUAUAUAUAUAUAUAUAUAUAUAUAUAUAUAUAUAUAUAUAUAUAUAUAUAUAUAUAGAUAAAUAAAUAAAUGUUUUUCAAAUCUCUUAAAAAGUUAACUAUUAUUAUAAUAAUUAUUAAAAUAAAAUAAUAUUAUUAAAUUUAUACUAAAAUAAUUAUAUAUUUUAAAAAACUAAAUUUUAUUAUAUUGUGAUUAUAUUUCAAGAACUGGUAAUUAUUUUUAUAACUUAAUAAAAUUAAUUAUAAUUGUAAAAAUAAAAUUAUAUAGAUUUAUAAUUAAAUUUUUUUAAAUGCAAUAUUAAUUUAUUUGUUUGUUAUUAUUAAAAAAAUUCAAAUUAAACUAAUUCUUUUAAUUCUAUCCAUGAUUAGCCAUUGACAGCGUAGUUGCACUGGUGCAAAAUUACAUUUAUUCAUUGGAAAGCAUAAUGGAUGAGAUAGAGAAGAAAAGAGGUUGUCGGCAUAACUACAUAGAGAAUGUGCUUCCUUUGAGUUUAAAGAAGUACAAUACAUUACAUAACAAUUUAAUAGAAAAAAAAAAGUAGUUUAGUUCAGUUUAAUUGAAUUAACUUUUAGUUUCAUAUAGUUUUUAAGAGUACAGUACAGUACAAUUUAUUUUUCCCACCCCUAAGUCUUGGGGGUUUCCAGUAUGCCUCAAGGCCCGGAACAGGCUAAUCUCGUGAGUGUGGCAGGGUGGGGAACCCAAUUAUCAUAAGCUACCACGGGUGCAUGACUCGUCAUAACUCGACUAUCAUUCUAAAGUCCGGAUAAGUCUAGUGUUCAACAUGAUAGGAUGUAUGCUUUAUCUUGCUUUAAUUGGAGUUAACUCUUAUAUAUUCUAUGCUUGACAUGAUGCAUGCUUUCUAUAUAAUUAUUUCACCCUUGCUUUCUUGCUUGUUUGUGUUGUGUCAUGUAUGCGUUUGUUUUCUUUUGCGGUGAUCAUCUAUUUGGGUGGGAGCAGAUGGUGAGGAGGAUACUUUGGAAACAGCUCUGGAUGGGGACGACAAUGCUGCUGCCUAGUUCACUGGGCUUUAUUUCCCUUGUUCUAGGAUAUUUUGAAGAACUUCAUCAUGUUCUAAGUUUUUAAAUUCUCUGUAUUUUAAGGGAGAAACACUAGUACUCCUCUUUAAAUUUUUAGCUAUUUUAAGGAUGAUCGUAUUCCUAUAUACUUUAAGUUACAUCUAUAACUGUUUUCCUUUAUCGU
RNAcentral lists this long non-coding RNA (3051 nucleotides) under Vigna radiata. RNAcentral's name for it is "long non-coding RNA (VRAD_LNC008170)". The record is from RNAcentral. Lineage: Eukaryota; Viridiplantae; Streptophyta; Magnoliopsida; Fabales; Fabaceae.